UCGGGAUUCUCUCUCUCCCUCCCUCCCUCUCUCUCUCUCUCUGCCCGUCCCCCACUUGCACUGUCUCUGUCUCUCUCAAAUAAAUCAGUAAACUUAAAAAAAACUAAUUGGAAAAGUAUCCAGCUAUGAGAGUUGUGUUUUUUUAAAUUGAAAGGUUAAUCCCAAUGACCUAGCUUGCCAUUAAUGGAACACGAAGUCUCAGUUGGAAUUUUAUCCCUUUCAUUUUAGUUUGUGUGUGUGUGUGUGAGAGAGAGAGAGAGAGAGAGAGAGAGAGAGAACCAGUGCAGGUGUGGGAGGGGCAGAGGACCAGGGAAAGAGAGAAUCUUAAGCAGGCUUCACAUCCAGCUCAGGGCUCAACAUGGGGCUCAGUCUCACGACUGUGAGAUCAUGACUUGAGUCAAAAUCAAGGGUAGGACCUUUAACCAACUGAGCUACCCAGGCACCCCGCAGUUGGAAUCUUAAAUGGUGAUGAUCCAGUUAUCCCUCUAUUGUUGAACGUAUUCAGGGCGAUGAUUGCCUUUAAGUGUAUAGAUUUCUGGACCAUAAAAGCUCACAUCAGGGUUUCAGGGAGGGGACAGCACAUCCCCCAGAGAUCCUGGAAUUUGGGCUACAUGGACGUAGCAGGUGGCCUUUGAGAUUGACUCCCCUGGGGAUGUUCCUGGUUUAGAGAGCGGGGUACACAUUGGAUGUUUUGUCAACAGGAUGGACUGUGCUGGAGACUGCUAACUGUGUAUCCUCAUAUUCAUUUUUGCCUUCCUAUAACCUUUAGUUUUUAGUUUAGGUGCAUGGCAGGCUGAAAUACAGAUUGCAUUUGAAAGCUUUUCUUGAAACUAGAUUGGCUAAAUGACUAUACCCUGUCCCAUAGGAAAAGUCAAAGAGUACCUGGUAAUUCUAGAAGCUCUCCUUAUGGAGAGGUAGACACUCUCUCUGUCCAGUUUCCCCUUUCUUCUUUGCUGCGUCUUGGGGGGAUGUGGGGACCUGCGGCUUCAUCCUGGAUCAAGGAGGUAAGACUACUCUUCAAGGAAGGUGGGGCAGAUAACUAGAUGCAAUUAGGUUCAGAUGACCCUGGAUCCACGGCACCUUGGAGUUUUACUGCCAAGGUCACAAUCACAGUCUGCUAUUCACUAGCUGUUUGGGUGGGGGGAAAUUGUCGGUCUCUCUGAGGCUGACUUCUGUUACCAUACAGUUAUAGCCACCUUGUUACACUGAUGGAGAGACUGAAUAAGCAAACAUGUGCAACAUCACUCAAUCAGUAGGUGGUAAGUACUCUCUUCUUUUUGCAUCGCAUUCUAACAUUUAAAAGGCUGUAGUCACAAAAGUUAAAUUUAAGUAUUGGGAAAUGUGACAAUCUUCUGUGAAGAAAUAUAUCAUUAGAAGAUCUAGUUAGUUGGGAACGCAAGCUGGUGCAGCCACGCUGGAAAAGAGUAUGGCGGUUCCUCAAAAAACCAAAAAUAGAACUACCGUACAACCCAGCAAUUGCACUACCGGGUAUUUAUCUAAGGGAUGCAGGUGUGCUAUGUCAAAGGGGCACAUGCACCCUAAUGUUUAUAGCAGCGCUAUCGACAAUAGCCAAAGUAUGGAAAGAGCCCACAUGUCCAUUGAGGGAUGAAUGGAUAGAGAAGAUACGGUGUAUAUAUGUAUAUAUACACACACACACACACACACACACACACACACACAAUGGAGUAUUACUCAGCAAUCAAAAAGAAUGAAAUCUUGCCAUUUGCAACUACGUGGAUGGAACUGGAGGGUAUUAUGCUAAAUGAAAUUAAUCAGUCGGAGAAAGACAAAUAUCAUAUGACUUCACUCAUAUGAGGACUUUAAGAGACAAAACAGGUUAAUAUAAGGGAGGGGAAACAAAAAUAAUAUAAAAACAGGGAGGAGGACAAAACAGAAGAGACUCUUAAAUACGGAGAACAAACUGAGAGUUACUGGAGGGGUUGUGGGAGGGGGGAUGGGCUAAAUGGGAAAGGGGCACUAAGGAAUCUACUCCUGAAAUCAUUGUCGCACCAUAUGCGAACUAAUUUGGACGUAAAUUAUAAAAGAUUAAAAUAACGAAUGUUUAAAUCAAAAGAAAAAGAAAAAAAGAAGAUCCAGUUAGUUCUGAAUAUCCAUAGUUACCUCUGAGUAACUUCAAGGGCCUUUGAUGCCAAGCUGGCCAUGAAGCUAGGAACUAAAAAAAAAAAAAAAAAAUCCGUCUAAAGAGGCAUGAUCCGGACUUCAUUUUUGCUUACGUGUUUCAAGAGGUGGAGGUCACGAGGGUCCCAAGAGAGAAAAGAAGGUGGGGGGUGGGGGGUGGGGGGUGGGAGCGGAAGGGCCUCCUUCAGCACCUCGGACAGCGGCCACUCCGUGACUCCCUCCUCUCAGGCUGUAGGAGUACCUGCCCUGGGCUACUGAGUCCAGGGCCUCCAAACCUUUCUGGGCCCACAGAUGGGGGGCCCAGGAGGCCUAGUGACUGCAAAAUAAGAAAGGAACAUUGCAACCUUAAAUGAAUAAAUAUUUAGUAUAUUCUAAGCUGAAAAUAACAUGUUUUUCUUGCCGAGUUCUUAACUAAAAUUACUUUUCCCAUUGGGGUGCCUGAGUGGCUCAGUGGGUUAAGCGUCCAACUCUUGGUUUCUGCUUAGGUCAUGAUCUCAAGGAUCGUGGGUUCGAGCCCCAUGUUGGGCUCUGCACUGACAGCGCGGAGCCUGCUUGGGAUUCUCUCUCCUUCUUCCUCUCCCCGCCCCCCCCCCCCCCAGCACACCCAAUAAGUAAAUAAACCAAAAAUUUUUUUUCAUAUUCCCGAAUGAUACAUCUGGUUUUUUUUUUUAAAGAAAGCGCCAGUGGAGUGAGAGGCAGAGGGAUGGGGAGAGCGAACCCACGUAGCUUGAUGUCACUACCCUGGGACCAUGACCUGAGGUGAAAUCAAGAGUCAGAUGCUCCUGGGGCGCCUGGGUGGUUCAGUCGGUUAAGCAUCUGACUUCAGCUCAGGCCACCUUCUCACAGUUCAUGAGUUUAAGCCCCACAUUGGGCUCUGUGUUAAUAGCACAGAGCCCGCACUUCAGACCCUUUGUCAACCCCCCCGCCCUUCCCCUGCUUGCAUUCUCUCUCUGUCUCUCUCAAAAUAAAUAAGUAAACUUAAUAUAAUUAGUCCUAAGAAAAAAAGAGUCAAAGGCUCAAUUGACUGAGCCACCCAGGUGCCCCAAAAUAAUACAUCUUCCUAGAAGAAAACACCAAGAAGAAAAAGUAAGAAAUAAAAAUCACUUUUAUAUCCAUAAUUCCAACAAGUCAAAAUAAUCCCUUCAUAUUUUCUCACGUAUACUUCCAGCUUGUAUUCAUAUGUAAUGUUAUGCAAGUAAAAAUUAUAUUUACAUCUAAAAUGUGCAUUUACAUUUACACGUCAUCUUCUGUUUAAAAAAUGCUCUUUCAUUGUCCAAUAAGUGCAUGACAAGAUGGACAACAUCAUUAGACCUUAGGGAAAUGCAAACCAAUGCAAAGCUUCCGUUAAAAUUGUCCUUGUCAAGAAAUUUUUGCCUACUCUAAGUCUUUUGCAGUUUCAUGUAAAUUUUAUCAUCAGCUUAUCUAUUUCUACAAAAAGUCCUGCUGGGAUUAGGGUUGUGAUUUCUUCAAAUCUAUAAAUCAAUUUGCAGAGCCUUACUAUCUUCACAAGGUGGAGUCUUUCAAUCCAUGAAUAUUGCUUAUCUCUCCAUGAAUUUGGGCCUUCUUGGGUUUCUUCCACAAGUGUUUUAAAAUUUUCUUCAUAGAAAUCUGGAACACAUUUUGUUAGAUUUAUACCUCAGUAUUUCACUUUUUCUGGUGCAUAAUACUUAAAAUGGGUAUGUGAAAAUAUUGUUCCGAUUGUUUAUUGCUUCUAUCCAGCAGAUUUGGCAUUCUUUUUCUGCAAAAGACCAUAUGGGAAACAUUUUAGGCUUUGCACAUCCCAUUCAGGAUCUCCUCUUCCUCUUGCCCCUCUUCUCCUUUUACAAUCGUCUUAUUUUUGAGAGAGGGAGAGACAGAGACAGAGACAGAGGCAGAGUGUGAUUGGGGGAGGGGCAGAGAGGGAGAGGGAGACACGGAAUCUGAAGCAGGUUCCAGGCUCUGAGCUGUCAGCACAGAGCCUGAUGCAGGGCUUGAACUCACAGACCGUGAGAUCAUGACCUGAGCAAAGUCGGACGUUGAACCGACUGAGCCACCCAGGUGCCCCCUACAGUCCUCUUAAAAUAUAAAAACACCUCUUAGCUUAUAGACCAUACGAAAACAGGCCACAGGCCAGAUUGGUCCAUGGACCAUAGUUUUCUAAUCCCUGGAAUAUAGAAAUAGAAUUUCUAUGUUUUAUAUUCUAGGUAGAAUAUCUUCUGUAUACAUUUUUGUCUAUUGAUCAUGUAUCCUGACCUCCAUUAAGUAAUUCCCAUUGGAACACAGAAAAUGUGGUUGUUUCCUCAGUCUUAAAAAGUCCCUUCCCUUGACCCACUUUCCCACUGAUGAACCAUUUCUUCCCUCCAUCGUGCAGCUAACUCCUCCAAAGAGUGAGCUCUACUUGUGUUCAAUGUCUCCUCUUGCACUACAAACAGGCUUUGAGUUUCUGCUAAGGACUGUGAUGGUGAAUUAAUGAGAAAGGGAAGACGAGAGGCAUGAAGCCCAUCGAUCCCCAGGACUCUGCUGCACCUGCGUGUAUUGAUGCUAAAGGACAGGAGCCUGCUGUCACUCACUGCUGUGGGUCUCUUUCCUUUCUUGGGUGUGUGGGCGACGCCCUCUGCUGGAAUUUUGGGGACAGCAGGCUCUGGCCUGGCCUUUGGUCUCCAUUAAUUCAAUAUGUGUGUGAGCGUGUCUGUGUCUAAGUGUAUGUGUGACUGUGUGUGCGUUGGUGCUACUGUGUGUAUGCAUGUGUGAGGGUGUGUGUAUGUGAGUGUAUCCACGUAAUUGGGUGCAUGGAUGGGAGCAUGUGUGUAAAUCUGUGUGCAUGUGUGUUUGUGUGUGCUCGGUGAGUGUGCGUGUGUAAGCGUGCCACUGUGUGCACGCGUGGAUGCAUUGGUGUGUGUGUGUUUGUGUGUGUGUGUGUGUGUGUGUAAGGGUGUGACUGUGUGUAUCUUGAAGUCGCUAAACCCUGUAAUGGGCAGGGACCUUAAGUGGUUAAAUAAGGGUGACUGGAAGACGGAGCCCUUUACAAAGCUAUGGGCAGGGCCAAGGGAAACCGUCGAGGCUAGUGCAGCGUCCUGGGGCUAGCAUCAGCUGAGAGCCGCCACCACUGCCAGGUUGAUGGGGCCACAGAGUAGCUAUUUCUGGAAUCCAGAGAGCUUAACUGUCACGGAGAGUGGAGGUAGCCUUUGGCAGAGAAUGGACGCCAUUUCUCUAAUCUCCUCGGAUUGCCUGCAGGUGCCCACCACUGACCCAACGCCAUAUUCUCAUUUGACCCCAAGAGGCUGUCGGGAGGCGGCCAAAGACUCCUGUGGUAGUCCAGUGUCUUGAGCUGGGUUGGUGUCCACUCCACAUGUCUCCGCAGAGGGGGGUUCAACAGUUCCUCUGCACCAGGGUGGCUCCCUUGUCUGCUGGCUAAGCAGACAUCAGAAUGGGAGGGGGGCAAAGUCCUGCCUGUUCCCUUGCACGCCCUUCUGGUUUUGUUUUUGUUUUUCUGUGACAUCCUUGGGCCCCCCUCCUUGGCUUUUGCAUGAGAAAUAGCCUUUUACCCUCCAGGGAUGAUCUCUGUUGAUGGCGACCCCCACUGCUGGAGCGGUGGGGGUGGUCUGACUACUUUCCAGAGCUGGCACCUCCCCUAAAGUCCUGUGCAGCGGAAGUUGAUGCAGCUAUUUUGGGGCCCCAGGACUUUCCUGAAGUUUCCCUUCAGCCUUCUUUUUCCAAAGCCAGCUUCUUUGCUCUCCUGGUCCUUAUGCCAAGAAGCUGGAAACUCCAGCUUAUGGGUCUGGCCCUUGGCAUGCUUUGGGGGCUGGCUGGGUUUCCUGAUCUUUAUUACGGCGACUGAAAUGGAACAACUGUUUCCAGCUUGAGUGUUGGGCCACAUUUCACCACCGUGGAUCUCCCUACAGGGCUGGUUCCUGCUUCCCUCCCGGAUGGAUACUGAGGGAAAUUGCCUCUAUUGUCUUUGUUUACCUCAGCAUGUCUGAGGAAGGAAGGAGGAAUGACAGUUUUCAAGCCAUUUGAUUACCUCACUGUGUGCCGGGUGUUUACAUUCCUGCUGUGGCUUUAGGGGCAAAGAGCGAUCGUUAUUCACUGUUCACUCUUCCAUGUCACUCAGGUUUCUGCUCAGAGGUCAACUCCACAGGGCAGCCCUCCCCGAUCGCCUCCUUGGUCACUUGCUGCUUCUCAUUCUGUUAAUUUCCUUCAUUACCACCCCACCAUCUGACUUGGUCUUGUUUCCCAUCGGCUUCUCCCAUCAGACAUGAGCACCACCAUCCAGAGACCUUAUCUGUUUUGUUCAUCCUGGGUUUUGGGUUGAAGCACCAUGUCUGGCAUAGAGUCUCUGGUACAGUUUUUUUGUUGUUGUUGUUGCUGUUGUUGUUGUUGAAGAACAAACUACCUGGGAGGUGUAAGUCCCCCUUUCCAUCUUCCUGAGGAGGGCAUGAAGCGCGGAGAGGACAAGUGACUUGUCCAAGGUCACACAGCCAGCGAGGAGCAGGGCUGGGAUCCGAACUCUGUUGGGCUGAAUCCGGAGCCUGUUCCUUCCCAAAGGCCGAGGAAAGGAAAAGAGAGACUCCAGCCACCAGGCAGCCUCCCUGCUUGGUGUAGAGGGACCCCAGGCUGACUCCUGGGAGAGGUGUCUUCAUGGUGUCACAAAAGAAAAACUGCUCACCUGUUCUGUGCACCAACCAUGGUCCCCUUCCCCCACUGUGACAAUCCUUGUUUCCUCUGAAAUUUGUGUUUUCGUGAUAAAAAUUAUAGCAGCACAGUGUGGGAGAGAGAAAGCGUGAGACAAGUAGCAUGUGAGAAGGAUCAAGACUCCACUUGUACUCUCUCCACUUCCACUGUGAUGUGUGGAUUCUUCUGGAAUUUUCUCAGCGCAUAUGCAAACAUGCACACACACAGAUCCACACACAUAUUCAGAAGCUUUAGCUGUAGACGAGCUCAUUACUCAUAUGCCAAUUUUUUCAUUGAGGUAUGAUCGGCAUAUAACAUUAUAUUAGUUUCAGGUGCACAGCAUGACUGCACAUAUGCAUAUAUUGCAAAACGAUCACCGCGAAAAGUCUAGUGAACACCCAUCUCCACACGUAGCUAUAGACUGUUCUUUGUCUCGUGAUGAGAGAUUUUAAGACCUACUCUCUUUGCAACUUUCAAAUAUACAAUACAGUGUUAUUAACUAUGGUCACCAAGCUUUGCAUUGCAUCCCUAGGACUGAUUUAUUUUAUAACUAGAAAUAUGUACCUUUUGACCUCCUUCACCCAUUUCACCCAUUGCCUACACUCUUCUGGCCACCAGCAGUGUGUUCUCCAUUUCUAUGAGUUCAUUUUUUUAAAGAAUACAUUUAAGUGAGAUCAUAUGGUA
Long non-coding RNA from Acinonyx jubatus (cheetah), 7473 nucleotides. RefSeq lists it as uncharacterized. The record is from RefSeq and is a predicted model, not a curated record. NCBI's taxonomy places the organism in Eukaryota, Metazoa, Chordata, Mammalia, Carnivora, Felidae. The transcript is spliced from 2 exons.